This 496-nucleotide ribosomal RNA is filed under the name uncultured bacterium. RNAcentral describes it as "partial 16S ribosomal RNA". It matches the Rfam family "Bacterial small subunit ribosomal RNA", at positions 30 to 523 of the family's 1533-position model. The record is from RNAcentral.
AUUGAACGCUGGCGGAAUGCUUUACACAUGCAAGUCGAACGGUAGAGGGGGCAACCCCUCGAGAGUGGCGAACGGGUGAGUAAUAUAUCGGAACGUGCCCAGUCGGGGGGGAUAACGUAGCGAAAGUUACGCUAAUACCGCAUACGAUCUAAGGAUGAAAGCGGGGGAUCGCAGGACCUCGCGCGAUUGGAGCGGCCGAUAGCAGAUUAGGUAGAUGGUGGGGUAAAGGCUUACCAAGCCAACGAUCUGUAGCUGGUCUGAGAGGACGACCGGCCACACUGGAACUGAGACACGGUCCAGACUCCUACGGGAGGCAGCAGUGGGGAAUUUUGGACAAUGGACGCAAGUCUGAUCCAGCCACUCCGCGUGCAGGAUGAAGGCCCUCGGGUUGUAAACUGCUUUUGUACGGAACGAAAAGGUCUCUCUUAAUACGGGGGGCUCAUGACGGUACCGUAAGAAUAAGCACCGGCUAACUACGUGCCAGCAGCCGCCGUAA